Molecule: ribosomal RNA, 497 nt
Filed under: uncultured bacterium
Lineage: Bacteria
Description: partial 16S ribosomal RNA
Rfam family: Bacterial small subunit ribosomal RNA
Source: RNAcentral
GAUGAACGCUGGCGGCGUGCCUAAUACAUGCAAGUCGAGCGAAGGAACGUGAAGCUUGCGCCAAUUUGAAUAGCGGCGGACGGGUGAGUAACACGUGGAUAAUCUGCCUUUGAGACGGGGACAACAUUUGGAAACGACUGCUAAUACCGCAUAAUAACUUUAAACGUAUGAUUUAAGAUUGAAAGAUGCAAUUGCUUCACUAAAUAGUUGUCCCGCGUUGUCUUAGUUAGUUUGUUAGGUAAACGCUAACCCAAGCAAACAUACAGAGUCGACCCGAGAGGGGGAGCGGGCAAAGUGGGACUGAGACACGGGUCAAACUCCUACGGGAGGCAGCAGUAGGGAAACGUCGGCAAUGGACGGAAGUCCGACCGAGCAACGCCGCGGUAGUGAAGAAAGUUUUCGGAUUGGAAAACUCGUUUGGUAGAGAAGAACGUUGGUGAGAGUGGAAAGCUCAUCAAGUGACGGUAACUACCCAGAAAGGGACGGCUAACUACGUG